This 759-nucleotide ribosomal RNA is filed under the name uncultured Pseudomonadota bacterium. Its description in RNAcentral is "bacterial SSU rRNA". It matches the Rfam family "Bacterial small subunit ribosomal RNA", at positions 28 to 776 of the family's 1533-position model. The record is from RNAcentral. RNAcentral also lists the same sequence under 1 other name. Lineage: Bacteria; Pseudomonadati; Pseudomonadota.
AUUGAACGCUGGCGGCAGGCCUAACACAUGCAAGUCGAAUGGUAACAGGAAACAGCUUGCUGUUUCGCUGACGAGUGGCGGACGGGUGAGUAAUGUCUGGGAAACUGCCUGAUGGAGGGGGAUAACUACUGGAAACGGUAGCUAAUACCGCAUAACGUCGCAAGACCAAAGAGGGGGACCUUCGGGCCUCUUGCCAUCAGAUGUGCCCAGAUGGGAUUAGCUAGUAGGUGGGGUAACGGCUCACCUAGGCGACGAUCCCUAGCUGGUCUGAGAGGAUGACCAGCCACACUGGAACUGAGACACGGUCCAGACUCCUACGGGAGGCAGCAGUGGGGAAUAUUGCACAAUGGGCGCAAGCCUGAUGCAGCCAUGCCGCGUGUAUGAAGAAGGCCUUCGGGUUGUAAAGUACUUUCAGCGGGGAGGAAGGGAGUAAAGUUAAUACCUUUGCUCAUUGACGUUACCCGCAGAAGAAGCACCGGCUAACUCCGUGCCAGCAGCCGCGGUAAUACGGAGGGUGCAAGCGUUAAUCGGAAUUACUGGGCGUAAAGCGCACGCAGGCGGUUUGUUAAGUCAGAUGUGAAAUCCCCGGGCUCAACCUGGGAACUGCAUCUGAUACUGGCAAGCUUGAGUCUCGUAGAGGGGGGUAGAAUUCCAGGUGUAGCGGUGAAAUGCGUAGAGAUCUGGAGGAAUACCGGUGGCGAAGGCGGCCCCCUGGACGAAGACUGACGCUCAGGUGCGAAAGCGUGGGGAGCAAACAGG